Molecule: ribosomal RNA, 253 nt
Filed under: uncultured bacterium
Lineage: Bacteria
Description: partial 16S ribosomal RNA
Rfam family: Bacterial small subunit ribosomal RNA
Source: RNAcentral
UACGUAGGGUGCGAGCGUUGUCCGGAUUUAUUGGGCGUAAAGAGCUCGUAGGCGGCUUGUCGCGUCGUCCGUGAAAACCCGCGGCUCAACUGUGGGCGGGCAGCUGAUACGGGCAGGCUGGAGUUCGGUAGGGGAGACUGGAAUUCCCGGUGUAGCGGUGAAAUGCGCAGAUAUCAGGAGGAACACCGGUGGCGAAGGCGGGUCUCUGGGCCGAUACUGACGCUGAGGAGCGAAAGCGUGGGGAGCGAACAGG